Molecule: unclassified non-coding RNA, 371 nt
Filed under: soil metagenome
Description: partial contains 5.8S ribosomal RNA, internal transcribed spacer 2, and large subunit ribosomal RNA
Rfam family: 5.8S ribosomal RNA (bases 1-120)
Source: RNAcentral
GAUGAAGAACGUAGCGAAAUGCACUAAGUAAUGUGAAUUGCAGAAUUCAGUGAAUCAUCGAAUCUUUGAACGCACAUUGCGCCCCCUGGAAUUCCGGGGGGCAUGCCUGUUCGAGCGUCUCAGGGACGAACCCUCGCGCGGGUGUACGCGCGGUCGUGGCUGCGGUGGCGUGCCCGAGGCGGCGGCCACCGCGCUGGAAUCCAUGGGCGGACGCCUGCCGCGUGGCCGAGCGUGAUAUGACGCAUUGGCGCUCGCACGCGGAGAGGCUGCCAGCCCUGGCCCGUCUGUCGGGCGGGGGAGAGCAAGACACGUGAACUCCUCGAAUCAGGUAGGGAUACCCGCUGAACUUAAGCAUAUCAAUAAGCGGAAGA